Long non-coding RNA from Melitaea cinxia (Glanville fritillary), 90 nucleotides. RefSeq lists it as uncharacterized. NCBI's taxonomy places the organism in Eukaryota, Metazoa, Arthropoda, Insecta, Lepidoptera, Nymphalidae. The transcript has 3 exons. The record is from RefSeq and is a predicted model, not a curated record.
UUUUUGUAUGACGCGAACUAUAACGGUCGACUUUUACCUAUACACAAGUAUUAAGUUGCUUACCGUAGGAAGAGACGACCGAGUGUGUAU